UACAGAGGUGGCAAGCGUUGUUCGGAAUUACUGGGCGUAAAGGGCGCGUAGGCGGCCUUGUAAGUCCUGUGUGAAAUCCCCCGGCUCAACUGGGGAACUGCACAGGAGACUGCUUGGCUUGAGUUCGGGAGAGGGAAGCGGAAUUCCGGGUGUAGCGGUGAAAUGCGCAGAUAUCAGGAGGAACACCGGUGGCGAAGGCGGGUCUCUGGGCCGAUACUGACGCUGAGGAGCGAAAGCGUGGGGAGCAAACAGG
This 253-nucleotide ribosomal RNA is filed under the name uncultured bacterium. RNAcentral describes it as "partial 16S ribosomal RNA". It matches the Rfam family "Bacterial small subunit ribosomal RNA", at positions 524 to 776 of the family's 1533-position model. The record is from RNAcentral.